RNAcentral lists this long non-coding RNA (3154 nucleotides) under Homo sapiens (human). Its description in RNAcentral is "non-protein coding lnc-ZNF783-3:5". Lineage: Eukaryota; Metazoa; Chordata; Mammalia; Primates; Hominidae. The record is from RNAcentral.
GUUGAGUCUCUGCACAGCUGCCGCGCUGACGCGUUUUCCGCGUGUCCCGAGCCCCGGCGGCCCCGCGAGCUCGGUCCGUGCGGGGAAAGCAGGGCUGACGCCGUCUGCGGAGAGGACUGCGCAGCCGGGCUUGUGUGGGGCCGCGCGUAACGGCAGCGGCUACUCCCUGCCCAGGCCGGCCAGCACAGGGCCAUGGCCGAGGCGGCUGCGCCUCCGGACUGGCAUUGCGGACUGACCUCCAGGGAGAGGCCCAGAUCUGAUCUGCAGAGAUCUCCCUUCCGGCUAUCGUGGCUGCUGUUCAGGUGGUGGAGAAGAAGAUGGAACCCCAGGCUGCCUGGCUACAGAGCCUGGAGGGAUGCAUGUGGACAGCCAAGAAGAAGCUGGCUGACUGCGAGAAGGUGGCUGUGGAGUUCGGGAACCAGCUGGAGGUGCCUGUGACUCCUGAAGACACGGUCGGGUAUUUCUCAGAGCAGCAGGGUGGCGGCCUGGAGGACUCAUAGAAGGAGUUCUGCAAAUGUGUUGUGAAGGGGAGCUGCGACACCCUGAGCUUCCUGGGUGAGAGGCUGGCCUCUGGGGGCCUCCACACCUUGGUUUUACUCCUUUAUUCAAUCACAUGAGACUCCUGAAUCUCAGAGCAGGAAGCAUGUGGAGAUCAUUUCUUCAGCCCUCUGUCUUCAGGCAGGUAGAAGGUAUCUGUCAUUCUCAUUUUGAAGUUUUAUGUAAUGAAAUGCAGAGGUUAUGUGACUUGUUCCAGAUUUCUUGGAGUAAAUAAACUGGAAUCUGCUCCUCGCUGUCCUGCCCUUCGCGUGGUGCCAGAGGCAGCUCCUGCGUGCACACCUGUGGCUCACCAGCCUAUCUGCUCCUGGGGAGCUGGGGCCUCCCCUGGUUUACAUCUGCAUCUCUAGGACUCCCACGCUGCACUCUGCACACUGAGUUCUCAGGAGAUUCCUGCUGAGCAAAGAAGGAUGAAUUGUAGGCCUGCUUUUUUUUUUUUUUUUUUUGAGACGGAGUUUUGCUCUUGUUUCCCAGGCUGGAGUGCAAUGGCGUGAUCUCAGUCACCACACCCUCCGCCUCCCGGGUUCAAGUGAUUCUCCUGCCUCAGUUUCCUGAGUAGCUGGGACUACAGGCAUGGGCCACCACACCCGGCUCAUUUUAUAUUUUUAGUAGAGACGGGGUUUCUCUAUGUUGGUCAGGCUGGCCGCGAACUCCCAACCUCAGGCGAUCCUCCCGUCUCGGUCUCCUAAAGUGCUGGGAUUACAGGAGUGAGCCACCAGGCUUGGCCAGGCCUGCUUUUAAGGAUGCCCCAGGUCCAGAAAAUCAGGGCCAGGCCUGGGAAGUUCGCUCCUUCAGGCAGGUGUGCGUCUUCGUGUGAGACUUGAUCAGACCUGGGUUUUUGUAGCUACCCCACUCCGAAGCUCUCCUGCGUGAACCUGGAAUUCUCACUGCUUUGGGCAGAGGUUCCUCCUUCAGAAAAGGGUCCCAGUGUGCUGUGGGAGGCAGGGUGAGGAGGCUGUCCGGCCUCAGGCGAGGAAGGAGAAGCACGUGGAAGGAAGGGCAGCAGGAAGCCUGAGCCUGACUGCCAUGGAUGGCCAGACCCACUCUUGGGCCUCAGUUUCCUCAUCUGUCUGGACUAGGCCAGGCCACCACCAAGCCAGAUCUGGCACCAGUGGAGAAAGGAGACAGGCAGGCAACUGCAGCCUGCCCAGUGCGGAGAGGGGCCAGAGCCCGGGCACUGGGCCCUGGUUAAUGGUGGAGCCAGCCUGGUGUGUGGCAGCCAGGUCGGGCUGGUGUCUUCAGAGUGGCUGUGUCAGAAGGGCCUCGUGUAUGACAGAAACGCAGGCCAGCUGGAACGUCCCCAGGCGUUCUGUCCUGGAUCAAGCAAGAGGAAGGGGCAAGUGGGAGGAGCCAGCAGGGCCCACAGGAGACCACUGUGGCACACCUGUGCUCAGGCAGCAUGGUGCUGGGCGCUGCAGGGGCUCAUUAAUGCAUGAGACACAGAUUCCACUCAGGAGAGAGAAGACGAACACAGACACAGUACACGGUGGGAAGGGGCACUUCCAUGUCUGCAGCCAGAGAGCCCUUUCAGAAUCUGACCCAAAAGAUGGCCAGUAUUCUAAGAAAAAGCACAUAUGCUUACGAUGUGCAAACAGCUGAAGGUGUUCUUUCAACUAUAGUAAAAGGGGUGUCUCGGUGGCCACAGGCGGCCCAGAUGAAGAGACCUGUCUGGGCCGCAGAGAGGAGUCUGGAGGCCCCCCGAGCCAGGCUGAGCCAGCCGCUAGGGGCACGGAGCAGUGCCCACCUUGCGCCCAGUGUGGCCAGAGCUUCGGCCAGAAGGAGCUCAGUGCGCCGCACCAGCGCGUGCAUCGUGGCCCCCGGCCUUUCGCUGGUGCUCAGUGUCCCAAGAGCUUCACGCAGCGGACCACCCCCGCCAGCCACCGUCGGGCGCACGUGGCCGAGUGCACCUACACCCGCGCCCAAUGCGGCAAGACCUUCCUCCAGCAGUCGACGCUCACACCCACUACUGCGCGCACAUCAGGGAGAAGCCCUACGAGUGCGCCAAGCUCUUUGGCCGCCUGUCCACGCUGCUGGAGCACCGGCACAUGCACACGGGUGAGCGGCCCUUCCAGUGCACGCAAUGUGGCUGCUGCUUCAGCCGCCUGUCCACGCUGCUGGAGCACCGGCACACACACAUCAGCGAGAAGCCCUUCCAGUGUGCGCAGUGCGACAAGCGUUUCACGCGUCUGGCCAACCUGACCGUGCACCAGAGAGUGCACUUGGGCGAGCGCUCCUUCCAGUGCGCCCAGUACAGCAGGAGAUUCAUGCAGAAGCCCGGCUUCCUGCGUCAUCUGUGUGGCCACUCGCAGGAGAAGCACUAUCCUUGCAGCCCUUGUGGUUCCCAUGAUCAGUGGUGAAAUAUAGUGAUUUUCACCUGUGCUUCCAUUCUGAAGUUCUGGAAAGAAGUACUGGAUGGACUGAAGUCCAGGACAACGUCCCAAAGAAAGGCAGAGUCCAGGUAGGCUUGGAGGACCAAGCCCUGGAUGAGCACUGGAGGGCAGAGGCCUCAGUGUCCAGCACUGUGCCCUGCACAUGGAAAGCCCCUACGUUUGUGGAAUGAAUGAAUAAUAAAAAUGUUUUCAUAAGUGAUGCCAUUCUC